Molecule: transfer RNA, 72 nt
Filed under: Danio rerio (zebrafish)
Lineage: Eukaryota; Metazoa; Chordata; Actinopteri; Cypriniformes; Danionidae
Rfam family: tRNA
About the family: Transfer RNA (tRNA) molecules are approximately 80 nucleotides in length. Their secondary structure includes four short double-helical elements and three loops (D, anti-codon, and T loops).
Source: Rfam by way of RNAcentral
GACUUUGUGGUACAAUGGUAGUGCAGCUGACUCCAGAUCAGAAGGUUCAUUGUUCAAAUCACUUCUAGAUCA